RNAcentral lists this transfer RNA (85 nucleotides) under Candidatus Liberibacter solanacearum. Its description in RNAcentral is "tRNA-Ser". It matches the Rfam family "tRNA". From Rfam's summary of the family: Transfer RNA (tRNA) molecules are approximately 80 nucleotides in length. Lineage: Bacteria; Pseudomonadati; Pseudomonadota; Alphaproteobacteria; Hyphomicrobiales; Rhizobiaceae. The record is from RNAcentral.
GGAAGGAUGGCCGAGCGGUUUAAGGCACUGGUCUUGAAAACCAGAGAUGGGUAACUAUCCGUGGGUUCGAAUCCCUCUCCUUCCG